CGUCAGUUUCAAGCCCUCUAACCUACUGGUUCUUGAUUGAUCCAUAAUGACAGAAGACUAUUAGGUGGCUAUUCGAGUACUGACUGCUAACAUUUCCUCUCAUCAUUGCGCUUCGUGCUCUCUAUUGGAAGCCCAGCAUGGUGGAUUCGCUUGUGUUGUGAAUAUGAAAGAAAGGAAUAUUAAUUCUCCUCUCAGACGCAUUUUAGCAAACUGUGCAGCACAGGCAAAGGAAUAUGGGAGCUGUAUUGCAGCAAAGAUUCCAGAAAUUGAAAAAGACAUGUGUUUGAAAGAAUUUCUUGCAUUGAAGACUUGCAUGCAAAAUAUGAAAAGGGUGUAAUACAUACUCUCUUCAUCAGUCUUUGAAGAUGCUCACUGAGUGCUCCAAGGAGUAUCUUUAAAGUUUGGAGGCAAUUGUUGGAGUUACAGACAGUUU
Molecule: non-coding RNA, 433 nt
Organism: Carica papaya (papaya)
Lineage: Eukaryota; Viridiplantae; Streptophyta; Magnoliopsida; Brassicales; Caricaceae
Source: RefSeq, a predicted model, not a curated record